Molecule: ribosomal RNA, 469 nt
Filed under: uncultured bacterium
Lineage: Bacteria
Description: partial 16S ribosomal RNA
Rfam family: Bacterial small subunit ribosomal RNA
Source: RNAcentral
AACAAACGCUGGCGGCGUGCCUAAUACAUGCAAGUCGAACGAGGUAGCAAUACCUAGUGGCGCACGGGUGAGUAACGCGUGGAUAAUCUGCCUUUGAGUGGGGGAUAGCUAGUCGAAAGAUUAGCUAAUACCGCAUAAGACCACAGGAACUGAGGUGCUAGGGGUUAAAGGUUUUUCGCUCAUAGAUGAGUCCGCGUGAGAUUAGCUAGUUGGUGAGGUAACGGCUCACCAAGGCGACGAUCUCUAACUGGUCUGAGAGGAGGAUCAGUCACACUGGAACUGAGACACGGUACAGACUCCUACGGGAGGCAGCAGUAGGGAAUAUUGCACAAUGGAGGAAACUCUGAUGCAGCGACGCCGCGUGAGUGAUGAAGGCUUUCGGGUCGUAAAGCUCUGUCGCAGGGGAAUAACACAAUGAAUGUACCCUGUAAGAAAGGAUCGGCUAACUUCGUGCCAGCCGCCGCCGUAA